Long non-coding RNA from Anopheles gambiae (African malaria mosquito), 788 nucleotides. RefSeq lists it as uncharacterized. Lineage: Eukaryota; Metazoa; Arthropoda; Insecta; Diptera; Culicidae. The record is from RefSeq and is a predicted model, not a curated record. The transcript has 3 exons.
AUCCUUCGAGUGCCACACACGCAUGCAUCUGCAUGCGUAUUCCGCUGAACCGAGACUACACAUCUCUCUCGAUCUCCCAUGAUUUUUCUGCUAUCGCGCUCAUCCGGGUGUUAGGCAUCCUCAGUCUGUCCAGAACUUUCACUGUGGAAGGAUGUGUUGGAGUGAUGUGUGAUUUCUUGUGCCCCGUACUUUGCUCGUUUACGUUUUGUGCCGUGUUCCUUCUUCUUCAAUUAUGGAAUGAUUUAUCCUUGUAUUUCUAAGUUACAGUGCACGCGCAUUUUAAUCGACGGUUGCCAACAUCCCGCAAAACGAUCGACGGAAGGAAAACGGUGUCCGGUUUUAAAAUAUAAAGAUUUCAUUACAGCUCUUUGGUAGAAGAGCGCACUUCAAGGACGCCUAGGAUACGGCUAAACAUGCGCAGCACCAGUCCGUGACGUCAUUUCCAGACAGGCGCCGGCUGAACACGCGCAGCACCAGUCGAGGAUAUCCUAGCGCAGAGGGUAGAAGGAAGAACGAGAGGAAGGGUAACAGAAAGCAACCGCAGCAUUUGGAAGGGGUGAAGCAUCCUGCCGUAUACAGAGUGUGAGUGUGCCAAAACGCAUGUGGAAAGAGUAACACCAAUAAAUAGCAUGCGAAAGUGUGCAUAAAGCAAAAAGAAAAAGCAUCACUACUACAACCAGCAAUCCGAAAAUAUAAGGGGAGGGAUAAAUACAAAUGUAUGCGUAAGCAGGACCAGCAAUCCAAGCAUUUGAAUGUGUGCGUCGGUUUGUGCCGUGCUGAAAGUUUUU